This 1434-nucleotide ribosomal RNA is filed under the name uncultured organism. Its description in RNAcentral is "SSU rRNA". It matches the Rfam family "Bacterial small subunit ribosomal RNA". The record is from RNAcentral.
CGCUAGCUACAGGCUUAACACAUGCAAGUCGAGGGGCAGCAUUUUAGUUUGCUUGCAAACUGAAGAUGGCGACCGGCGCACGGGUGAGUAACACGUAUCCAACCUGCCGAUAACUCCGGAAUAGCCUUUCGAAAGAAAGAUUAAUACCGGAUAGCAUACGAAUAUCGCAUGAUAUUUUUAUUAAAGAAUUUCGGUUAUCGAUGGGGAUGCGUUCCAUUAGUUUGUUGGCGGGGUAACGGCCCACCAAGACAACGAUGGAUAGGGGUUCUGAGAGGAAGGUCCCCCACAUUGGAACUGAGACACGGUCCAAACUCCUACGGGAGGCAGCAGUGAGGAAUAUUGGUCAAUGGGCGAGAGCCUGAACCAGCCAAGUAGCGUGAAGGAUGAAGGCUCUAUGGGUCGUAAACUUCUUUUAUAUGGGAAUAAAGUUUUCCACGUGUGGAAUUUUGUAUGUACCAUAUGAAUAAGGAUCGGCUAACUCCGUGCCAGCAGCCGCGGUAAUACGGAGGAUCCGAGCGUUAUCCGGAUUUAUUGGGUUUAAAGGGAGCGUAGGUGGAUUGUUAAGUCAGUUGUGAAAGUUUGCGGCUCAACCGUAAAAUUGCAGUUGAAACUGGCAGUCUUGAGUACAGUAGAGGUGGGCGGAAUUCGUGGUGUAGCGGUGAAAUGCUUAGAUAUCACGAAGAACUCCGAUUGCGAAGGCAGCUCACUAGACUGUCACUGACACUGAUGCUCGAAAGUGUGGGUAUCAAACAGGAUUAGAUACCCUGGUAGUCCACACAGUAAACGAUGAAUACUCGCUGUUUGCGAUAUACAGUAAGCGGCCAAGCGAAAGCAUUAAGUAUUCCACCUGGGGAGUACGCCGGCAACGGUGAAACUCAAAGGAAUUGACGGGGGCCCGCACAAGCGGAGGAACAUGUGGUUUAAUUCGAUGAUACGCGAGGAACCUUACCCGGGCUUAAAUUGCAACAGAAUAUAUUGGAAACAGUAUAGCCGUAAGGCUGUUGUGAAGGUGCUGCAUGGUUGUCGUCAGCUCGUGCCGUGAGGUGUCGGCUUAAGUGCCAUAACGAGCGCAACCCUUAUCUUUAGUUACUAACAGGUGAUGCUGAGGACUCUAGAGAGACUGCCGUCGUAAGAUGUGAGGAAGGUGGGGAUGACGUCAAAUCAGCACGGCCCUUACGUCCGGGGCUACACACGUGUUACAAUGGGGGGUACAGGAGGCGGCUACCUGGUGACAGGAUGCUAAUCCCAAAAACCUCUCUCAGUUCGGAUCGAAGUCUGCAACCCGACUUCGUGAAGCUGGAUUCGCUAGUAAUCGCGCAUCAGCCAUGGCGCGGUGAAUACGUUCCCGGGCCUUGUACACACCGCCCGUCAAGCCAUGAAAGCCGGGGGUACCUGAAGUACGUAACCGCAAGGAGCGUCCUAGGGUAAAACUGA